AUGGUUGUAGCUUCUCAGGCGCCGGUUGCAGCUUCCAUGGGUACCCGCCCCAGCUUUUGUGUAUCUCUGCUCAAGCUUUCCUUCUCACCUGUGGUAGCUUUCUCAGGUGCGGGUUUCAACAUCUGUUUGUUGUCGUCUCCAGCUCCGGUUAGUGCUGGUUGCAGCACCGAUGUUGGGUGGCGCCGUUGUAGCUUUCAGGUCUGUAGGAAGGAGAGAAAAAGCACCAUGAAAAGAGCUCCAAAAUUCUCUAGGGAUCCAUGGCGGUUUGCUGUGGGGAGUGGAGAAACGGAGCCAUGGCCGCGGCCGGCUAGCCGGAGUGGAGCCAGGAGUGUGUGGGUGCUGGCACGCUCGCCGGCAGGGAUCGGAGAAACAAGAAAGUGGAUGCGGGACGGGCUAAGUUUUGUUGUGGAUAAGGCAGAGGAGCGAGGAAGAAACGAGUGGAGGAGCACUUCGUUUGGUGCGUGGCCCCAUGUGCAGAAGUGCGAGUCGAGGCGAGCAAGGGGCGUGACCGGCCGAAGCUUCGGCCGGACCGCUGAUUAUAAACGUUUCCCGAAGAAAAAUCUAUGA
RNAcentral lists this ribosomal RNA (567 nucleotides) under Triticum aestivum (bread wheat). RNAcentral's name for it is "partial small subunit ribosomal RNA". The record is from RNAcentral. Lineage: Eukaryota; Viridiplantae; Streptophyta; Magnoliopsida; Poales; Poaceae.